Molecule: long non-coding RNA, 97 nt
Filed under: Mustela putorius furo (domestic ferret)
Lineage: Eukaryota; Metazoa; Chordata; Mammalia; Carnivora; Mustelidae
Description: lncRNA (ENSMPUG00000024783.1)
Source: RNAcentral
UUUACCUUUAAUACCAGCUUAAAGAACUCUUGAAAACUACAGACAUCAUCUCGACUGAUCUCUCAUUUCCCCAAAAGGGGGUGAUCACUCAGAUUUG